GCCUACGGGGGGCAGCAGUCGAGAAUCAUUCCCAAUGGGGGAAACCCUGAUGGUGCGGCGCCGCGUGGGGGAAUGAAGGUCUUCGGAUUGUAAACCCCUGUCAUGUGGGAGCAAAUUAAAAAGAUAGUACCACAAGAGGAAGAGACGGCUAACUCUGUGCCAGCAGCCGCGGUAAUACAGAGGUCUCAAGCGUUGUUCGGAAUCACUGGGCGUAAAGCGUGCGUAGGCUGUUUCGUAAGUCGUGUGUGAAAGGCGCGGGCUCAACCCGCGGACGGCACAUGAUACUGCGAGACUAGAGUAAUGGG
RNAcentral lists this ribosomal RNA (305 nucleotides) under uncultured bacterium. Its description in RNAcentral is "bacterial SSU rRNA". It matches the Rfam family "Bacterial small subunit ribosomal RNA", at positions 337 to 653 of the family's 1533-position model. The record is from RNAcentral.